UGGACUGGGAAAGAGAGAGAGAAAGAGUACAAUGAGAAGGUGAUGGUUGAGAUCUACAAAUCAAUGAUGGCUCAUGGACAUUAGCUCCCUCGUGAUG
Telopea speciosissima is the source of this 97-nucleotide long non-coding RNA. RefSeq lists it as uncharacterized. The transcript has 3 exons. Lineage: Eukaryota; Viridiplantae; Streptophyta; Magnoliopsida; Proteales; Proteaceae. The record is from RefSeq and is a predicted model, not a curated record.